GGACUACUAGGGUUUCUAAUCCUGUUUGCUCCCCUAGCUUUCGUCAUUCAGCGUCAGUUGUGGUCCAGCGCGCCGCUUUCGCCACGGGUGUUCCUGCAGAUAUCUACGCAUUUCACCGCUACACCUGCAAUUCCACGCGCCUCUCCCACACUCCAGCACAGCAGUUUCGGAAGCCGUCUCUGAGUUAAGCCCAAAGAUUUCACCCCCGACUUGCCACACCGCCUACUGACCCUUUACGCCCAGUAAUUCCGAGCAACGCUGGCCCCCUACGUCUUACCGCGGCGGCUGGCAC
This 292-nucleotide ribosomal RNA is filed under the name uncultured Acidobacteriota bacterium. RNAcentral describes it as "uncultured Acidobacteria bacterium partial 16S ribosomal RNA". Lineage: Bacteria; Pseudomonadati; Acidobacteriota. The record is from RNAcentral.